RNAcentral lists this long non-coding RNA (3369 nucleotides) under Homo sapiens (human). Its description in RNAcentral is "HSALNT0380984". Lineage: Eukaryota; Metazoa; Chordata; Mammalia; Primates; Hominidae. The record is from RNAcentral.
CUGCCAUGGCCAGCUGGGUGCUCUCCAAGUCAGGGGUGCUGUGCGAGGAGGGCGUGGCUUCUGCUCCUCUGUGUCCCAGCCACUCCUCCUGUACUCAGGCCCCAGCUCCUCUGUUCUGCCCAGUGGCCUGGCGCAGGAAAGGUGACCCAGUAGUUCAGCCUGUCCCAGCUGCCUGCCCCAGCACCAUCCCAGACCCCUUUCCCUGGGGCCCACCUUGGCCCUGAGGAAGGCCAGAGCUCGGCUGCUGUUCUCCAGGAAGUGCACACGCAGGCGGCCCCGGCUCGGGGGUGGCAGGGCCUCCCCUGAGAUGAGCUCCAGCAGCCGCAGGAGGUGGAUGCCGUCAGCCAGCUCUGUGUACAGGUUCCGGAUCUUGAUGCCCGCCUGGGGAGGGGACAGGGGUAAGUAUGGGGUCAGCCCAGCCUCACCUGUCCUCCCAUCCUGGGACCUGAGAGGUACGACCCAGAGCAGCUGCUUUGGAAGAAGGAGCUCUGGCCUCAGCUUGGCCUCAGGCAGAUGACCCCACAGCUCACCCCGGAGGCCCACUGGCCAGAGCUGGGGGCCUGGUAUGGGUGGGCUGUGGGUCACAGCUGGCUAUACUCACCUGGCCGCACUGGAAGACGUUAUUGAUCCACUUGGUGAAAGUCUUCUCCUGCAUCUGCAUGUGCCGGGCCUGUAGCUUGCGAAUGUGGCCCGUCUCGUACUGAGAGUCCAUGGUGAGACUUGGACUGGGCGGGACCCGGAGUUCUGUGCUGGGCCUCCUGCUGCGGUGCCCUGCAGCCCCGAGGAGCUCCCGGGGACUGUGGGGCUGACCAGCCAUCAGCCCUGCAGACUUUGGGGAUGAGGAGCUGCUGGAUGGCUCCCUAAACCUGGAGGGCAUGCAGAUUAGGGGAUGAUGUGAAUGGAGAUGGCCCCUCUACCAGGGGCCUGGGGUCCCGCCUUGCCAGACUGUCCUCACAUUUCAUGGGGGUUGCAGCUUGGAGCCCAGCCAGGUAAGGGCCAGUGCUUCUGGUCCCCUGUGCUUGAAUGGCCCAGGGCCCCCUUUGCCCCACCCCACCUUCCAGAUUCUUCUUCUCAGAGCCCCUGCUGCCAGGUCCCUCCACCACAGUGACUGGGACAGGUGGAAGGAAGACAGGAAACUGCUUACCUUGGUGAUGCCUGGGUCCCACAGAGACGGCUCUGCUGGACGGAUGGAGAUGGUAGAUAGCAGGGGCUGCUUACCUUGGUGAUGCCUGGGUUCCACAGAGGCGGCCCAGCUGGACGGAUGGAGAUGGCAGAUAGCAGGGGCUGUGGAGGGAGGGAGAGGGACAUCAGGAGAGGCCAAGGCUGGAGCAGGGCUGCACCACAGCCCUCCCCUUGAGCCAGCGUGCUGGGGUGACGGCACACAGGCGGCAUUGUCCUCCCACCUGCCACAGGGCGUGGCCCAGACAGGGAGGGGGUGGUUCAGGAAUGCUCCAGGGCCAUUGCCAGAUGAUGUCCUCCUUCAUCAUCCUCCCUUCCCCGCCAGCAACUUCUCCAACUCCAGGUGGGGGUCCUGGCUCCCAGGACGCAGAGGCCCAUGGAGCGGCCCUGCCACCGCAUGGGGUGCUGCAGUCUGCGUAGGAGGUACCAAAGGGCAGAGCCUCUGUGGGAAGCCUGUGGACGCACUUCCCAAUCUGAGACUGCCCUCUGUACCCUCUUGGGGCCUCUCUGUGAGCACCCAGGGCGAGGGGAUGAGGGAGCGUCCUGGGCCGUGGUCUUCUCAUUCACCCCCAGGGAACAGCCCAUAGACUGAGGGCCUCACAGACCCUGGGCUUGGCUUUCCAGGCCCUGCCAGAGUGCAGCCUGCCUAGCCCGGGGCUGAAGGGUAGGCUCCCUGGAGGAAGGGGUGACCUGGAACUGCGAGGGCUGUGGAGUCUCCUCCAAAAUUAGAGACACGGUGUUAACUCUGGGCUCCACAGAGCUGGCCGUGGCCCGGGGCUCGGAGGCAGGGGUGCAGAGGGAGCUGGUGGGCGCCCAUCCCUUCCUCCCCGAGCAGCCGUGGACUACAUGCCAGAGUGAAGGCGAGUUCUAAUUCUGGGGGUCUCACCCGCCUCUGGCUAAACUCAGGGUAGCAGUGUGGGCUGGGGUGUGUGUGUGUGGGUGUCUUCCAGCGGCCCUGGAGCCUCUGAAGCGACAGCCCGCUCCUCAGGGAGGCGCUCCUGGCAGCCACAGCCCACAGCAGGACAGCCGCUCAGCGCGCCCUUGAGAGCUGGGCUAGGGAUGAGUCACACUUGAACCGCCUGGGCCCACUGCAGGCAGUCAGGGGUGACGCUGAGAGGUGCCGUGGUCUCGGGUGGGGUGCGGCUUCCUGCGUCUGAGAGACGCUUCCUCUCCUGCUGUCCUCUCCCUGCCAGGCCCCUUCUGCAGCGGCUGGCUUCCAGACACCCUGCGUCCCUCCCUUGCUCGCAGCAGUUGCUGUGGCGGUCCUCCCGUGCACCCCCCCUUCUGCCCUCACUGCCCCUGGGGGUCCUCAUCACGGACCCCCUAACUCGGCAUCCUGGACACCACCACCCCGCACCUUUCCACAGUGCAGCUCUGCUCGUGCCUGUGAAGCCUCCCACAGCCUGGGAAGGAAAAUCCAGACUUGCCAGACCUUGCCUCAGCCAGGCCUUGGAAGCCUGCCAGCUUACCUAACCAGGCUAGUCUGCCCCCCUCACUCUGGGUGCUCUCCAUGGGCCACUCACCAUUUCCUGAGCAGGACCAGAGCUCUCCUGCCCCAAGGCUGGGCUUCAGCUGCUCUUUCAGCUUUGAACGUCCUUUCCCAUUCUCCAUCAUCCACAUUCACCUAUCCUGCCUGCCCCAGUUAAAAUCCUGUUUCUUCUAGGAAGUCCCUCAUCCCACCCGCUUACCCCAGGGAGACUGAGCUUGUUCCUUCUCCUAGUAAGACCCUCAGCCCAUGGAGUCCUGUGUGAUGUUGUGAGCGUGGGAGGACAGACUGAACUGCUCGGCCCGUGGAGUCCUGUGUGAUGUUGUGAGCGGGGAGGACAGACUGAACUGCGUGGUGCUUCGCACAUAGACCUCAACAGGGAUUGGCAUUUUGAAGCUGUUGGCGGGGGCUGUGGACUGCUUUUCUUCCUUUCUAGCUCAACGGCAGCUAAAGCCACUGCAUACAAUGCAAGGACUGGCUCCUGUUUGGCCACGACUGAUUGCAGCCCCUGGUGAAAUGAGAACCCUGUGGGUCGGAACAAAGUUUGGAUUAUUUAUGUUGCAAAGACAGGGUCUUCUUAGGUUGCCCAGGCUGGUCUUGAACUCCUGGCCUCAACGAUCUUCCCACUUCAGCCUCCUGCAUUGCUGGGAUUAUAGGAAGAGUUGGGGCUCACAGGCACACCCUCUCCCUAACUCUUCUCCCCC